Non-coding RNA from Meleagris gallopavo (turkey), 3934 nucleotides. The record is from RefSeq and is a predicted model, not a curated record. NCBI's taxonomy places the organism in Eukaryota, Metazoa, Chordata, Aves, Galliformes, Phasianidae.
GAUCCCUCCUCUGGAGUUUUGCAGCAAGCCCAGGAUGCAGGUACUACAGAGCGGGUGUGUCUGAUCCAGGGAACAGUUGAAGCACUAAAUGCAGUUCAUGGCUUCAUUGCAGAGAAGAUUCGAGAAAUGCCUCAAAAUGUGGCCAAGACAGAGCCUGUCAGCAUCCUACAGCCUCAGACCACUGUCAAUCCAGACCGCAUCAAACAAACAUUGCCAUCUUCCCCAACUACCACCAAGUCCUCUCCAUCUGAUCCCAUGACCACCUCCAGAGCCAAUCAGGUACAGUAUCAUCCUACCAUCUACACCAUACUUUUCACGGGUGACAGCUUGCAAACUGGAGAAAAAGAUAUGGUGGGUUAAGGAUUUAUUCGUUCAUUCACAUGUGUACACCCAUAACCAUAGAUAUCUAACUCUUAUUAGAAUUUCGUAAAUUGAAUGGAAAUUUUUUUUUCUUUUGUUUUGUUGUCUUCUUUAAGAUCUCAGAUUUAAUUUUUUUUUUAAUCUUGUAAAAUAGUAUUAUUUUUUAAAUUUGGUUAAUAAAUAGUAGGUAUACAUACAGGUAUUUCUGUAGACAGAGUAAGUCUUGGUAUGUUUAUGUAUAUAUGCACACACGUAUUUACUUCCUGGAUAAAUUACAGUGGAGUUACCCAUAAACCAUAUUUAAUUGGAUGUAUAUCAGCCUGGCAAUAUAUUUUAGAUUUUAUUUACUUACUGAUUUCUCAAGAAUUUUCAAAUAUGUUUGUGGACAGUAACAUAAAGACAUUGUUUAAGUAUGUUUAAUUAUUAUUGUGUGUAAUAAAAGAUCUUAAAUGAAAAUCUCUUGACUUAGAAUGAAGUAAAAUUAAGUCACUUUAAAACAUCUCAAAUACAUCUAAUUUUAAUUCACAUCUAGUUUUUAAAAAGCAUAAACUGUACUUUUAGUACAAUUUUAAUUACACUAAUUUAUAUCUCUUUUAACUGCGAAAAAAACAACAACCACAUGUCUGCUUCAUUAUGUCCACAAAUCAUCAUGGUUGUCUAUCUUCCUUUUUUAUGAAAAUUGUUAAAGUUACUUUAUACUAUUCUAUUUAGAACUGAUUCAUGCUUAAUAAAUAUCUUACUCAGUUUUUUAAUGUGCUGUUAAACUUAACAUAUUUGGUGUUCAAAUAAUACAAGUAUUCAGUUAAUGCGAACAGUUUUUUAAACACAGCUUCUGUUUAAGUUAGCUGAGUGCUUCUAUCAUACCUUGCACAAAUUAGUUUUCCAGAAAAAUUUUCUUCGAAACAAGCUGUUUUCCUCUUGAAGUUAACAUUGAUACUAAUUAUUGAUUAUCUGAUAUUUUGUGAACUGUUUAGAACUUUUUGUCUGUAUGAACAAUUUUACAUAUAACAGGACAAAGCAUAUUAAAGCAAUAUAUCAUAUUUUUGAUCAACAUCUAAGCAGCUGUUGAAAGAGACUUCUAAUGCAAAAAGUAAUGAAAUUUAGAGAGAAACAAUACAGAUAGAAGAACUAUAAGAACACUGUAUGUUAUGAUAUCCUUCACUUCAAUACAAAAGCCUUCUUCAUCAGACUGUUCCCAUUCCAGCAAUUGUUGUUUGGCUUCAUCAUCAUUAAAUGACAAAGAUAAAAUCUUUGCCAACAACUAUGGGUUAUUUUAUGAACAGUCUACUCUGUUCAGUCUUUAUUCUCUCCUUCUUAAUGUUAGUGUUUUGUGUAUUUUAAUUAGAAAGUUUUGAAAAUGUUGAACGAAUAGAUCUUUUUUAAAAGUGUUCUUUCUUUUUUUUCUGCUCUUUUACCAUUUUUUUUUUUUAAUAUGACUCUACCCUGAUGAUCAUUACUGAGAGAUAAAGGAAUAUGUGCUUCUACUUAACAGAAAAUACUAUUCGGCUGUUUUAUUAGUAUCAGAGAGGUGUCUUCUUUGCAUCUGUUCUAUGAAUUUUGAAUAAUCAGAAUUACUGUGUAUCAUAUUAAAUGUCUUUUAAUAGCUAAAAAUAUAAAUCUUUACCAAAAAUUGUUCUAUGAGAAUUUUAUCAAGUGAUACAGCUGGAAUAUCCAAACUAAGAGACAAGUAUAUGCUUUGUAAGGUGCCUGUAUCCCACAUUACAUCUGCUAAUGCAUUUUAUCCCUAACUCAUAUUUAGUUCCAUUUUCAUAGAAAUAACCAAGACUUCUUUUGAGCUGCAUUAAAAUUGUAUAAAUGAAAAAGAGUAAUACAUUCUGUAAGUGACUUCUAGAAAUGCAUUUAUCGUUAACCCUAGAAAUCUUUACUGGUUUUUAAUUAUUUUAUCCCAGCUUUCAAGCUUUCAUUUCCUUGUGGUUUCUAACCAUUUCAGCAGCAAGCACAAAGCGCAUGAUAAGGCAAUUAAGGCUUUUCUGUUCAUGCUUGUGAUAAGUGAUGUAGCUGGCAAUUGUUCCAAGACUGUAGUAGUGAUUAGUAUUCAGCUCCAGUAUGUCACAAGUAUCUGCACUGCGGCUGUGACAUGAAAAUAGGUUCCAGCACAGUAAUCUAAAACCUGUCAGUAGUCAAGUAAGUAACCAAUAGGAGACUAAGAGAGAACAAAACAAAUUUGUUUUAAUCUAUGGCUAGGUAUGAUGAUUCUUAAUAGAAAAUAACUGUUUAGGUGUGGAUUUUCUAACAAAAUGUUAUAUAAAGACAGUAUGAAGGAGCUUAUUUAACUGAAUAGAAGUCAGGGAAUUUAGUGUUAAGGUGGAAGAUAAAUUCACAGCACAGCCUGCUCUGUGUGUAUAAUAACAUAUCAGACUUGAGAUCAUUCAAUUUUCUAUAAUAUUUCAAUCAUGACAAGACCGUAUUUUAUAUUAAAAAUUAACAAAGGUGAUUAAGCAACAUUUUAGCGAGGCUUAGUGCUGGUAGAAAUUGUUUGCUGUUAGAGUAAGAUUUUAACUGAGUUGGAGCACUCUCUAUGAGUCAUUGCAAUUAGAGACUUGUUGAGGAUGCAUGUAGGUGAGCUUACAUGAUGAUAUGAUCCUUCCCACUGUACAGCAGUUGUUUUCUUCUGACAGGGUUUGCAUAGUGGACAGAGCAAUUCCUAGGCACAGUAUUUACCACAGGAGAAAACAGUUCUGUCAGGAGAAGUCAGAAGUCACUAGGCAGGAAAUCCAGCUUAUAUUACAUCUUCCUUUUAAUGACUUGAUUUGCCUCUAUCUGGAUGAAUUCAUAACUCUCUUUAGGGCAAUUUCAAUUUUUGUUCAAUUUUUGUUCUUUUUAUUUUGAAAAAUUCAGUGGUCACAAACUGCAUGUUGUAUCAUCCUCAAGAGGAUGGUAUAUUAGCCAUUUAUACUGGAAUAAAACUCUCUCUUCAGAUCUGUCAUGUUGUGCUAUGCUGAAUUCCCAUUAUUGCAACAGAAACCUAUGCAUGGAGAAUAUUUUUCUUUGUUUUUGUUCCAGGAAAAUAUGUAUUUGUCAGUAUUAUUGUUGCAAAUGUCUAAUUUAUUUUUUCAGUACUUUCUUGGUCAUUUGUCCACAAUAUAAAGUAAUGCACUGGAAACUUUCAGUAAGGAAGAACCAAUGAUGAAAUAGAAUUAAGAACACCCAGAAUGUAUUUCAAAUAGAGGGUUGUGUUUUUUUCUUCUCUGUACGUAUCACUGAAAAGAAGAACUUGAAUCUUUUUGUGUACUUAUCGACCAAGAACUUCAGCAUGACAGCUUUUUUUUUAUAAAAAAAAGUUUGUGUGUGACUACAGUGGUGAAACUGUUCUUCUAGCACCCCUGAAAUUGGCAGAAUAUAGCAUUACUUUUGUUUACCUGAAGGAAGAAAUCAAUUUUACUUUUCCACAAUACACUUCAGAUGGGAAUUUCCUUUCAAAAUUGAUAAAUAGUACCAUGAACGUCAUGUUUCUUUUUUUUCUUCUUUGCUACCUUGGAUGCAGAUGACAAUAAUUAUUUUAAGUGAAAAUAGGCAAGCGUUUCUUUAAUAAAAGUGUUUACAUAUUGUUUUA